CCUACGGGUGGCAGCAGUGGGGAAUAUUGGACAAUGGGCGAAAGCCUGAUCCAGCCAUGCCGCGUGUGUGAAGAAGGCCUUCGGGUUGUAAAGCACUUUCAGUGGGGAAGAAAGCCUUGGGGCUAAUACCCUCGAGGAAGGACAUCACCCACAGAAGAAGCACCGGCUAACUCCGUGCCAGCAGCCGCGGUAAUACGGAGGGUGCGAGCGUUAAUCGGAAUUACUGGGCGUAAAGCGCGCGUAGGCGGUCUGAUAAGCCGGUUGUGAAAGCCCCGGGCUCAACCUGGGAACGGCAUCCGGAACUGUCAGGCUAGAGUGCAGGAGAGGAAGGUAGAAUUCCCGGUGUAGCGGUGAAAUGCGUAGAGAUCGGGAGGAAUACCAGUGGCGAAGGCGGCCUUCUGGACAGACACUGACGCUGAGGUGCGAAAGCGUGGGUAGCAAACAGGAUUAGAUACCCCAGUAGUC
RNAcentral lists this ribosomal RNA (465 nucleotides) under Vreelandella stevensii. RNAcentral describes it as "partial 16S ribosomal RNA". It matches the Rfam family "Bacterial small subunit ribosomal RNA", at positions 338 to 795 of the family's 1533-position model. The record is from RNAcentral. Lineage: Bacteria; Pseudomonadati; Pseudomonadota; Gammaproteobacteria; Oceanospirillales; Halomonadaceae.